RNAcentral lists this ribosomal RNA (253 nucleotides) under uncultured bacterium. Its description in RNAcentral is "partial 16S ribosomal RNA". It matches the Rfam family "Bacterial small subunit ribosomal RNA", at positions 524 to 776 of the family's 1533-position model. The record is from RNAcentral.
UACAGAGGUGGCAAGCGUUGUUCGGAAUUACUGGGCGUAAAGGGCGCGUAGGCGGUUCGAUAAGUCCUGUGUGAAAUCCCCCGGCUCAACUGAGGAACUGCACGGGAGACUGUCGGGCUUGAGUUCGGGAGAGGGAAGCGGAAUUCCGGGUGUAGCGGUGAAAUGCGUAGAUAUCCGGAGGAACACCGGUGGCGAAGGCGGCUUCCUGGGCCGACACUGACGCUGAGGCGCGAAAGCUAGGGGAGCAAACGGG